This 397-nucleotide ribosomal RNA is filed under the name uncultured bacterium. RNAcentral's name for it is "partial 16S ribosomal RNA". It matches the Rfam family "Bacterial small subunit ribosomal RNA", at positions 523 to 918 of the family's 1533-position model. The record is from RNAcentral.
AUACGUAGGGGGCGAGCGUUGUCCGGAAUGAUUGGGCGUAAAGGGCGCGUAGGCGGCCCGGUAAGUCUGGAGUGAAAGUCCUGUUUUUAAGAUGGGAAUUGCUUUGGAUACUGUCGGGCUUGAGUGCAGGAGAGGUAAGUGGAAUUCCCAGUGUAGCGGUGAAAUGCGUAGAGAUUGGGAGGAACACCAGUGGCGAAGGCGACUUACUGGACUGUAACUGACGCUGAGGCGCGAAAGUGUGGGGAGCAAACAGGAUUAGAUUCCCUGGUAGUCCACACUGUAAACGAUGAAUGCUAGGUGUAGGGGGUAUCGACCCCUUCUGUGCCGCAGUCAACACAAUAAGCAUUCCGCCUGGGGAGUACGGCCGCAAGGUUGAAACUCAAAUGAAUUGACGGGG